UGGGGAAUAUUGCACAAUGGAGGGAACUCUGAUGCAGCGACGCCGCGUGAACGAAGAAGGCUUUCGAGUCGUAAAGUUCUUUUAUAUGGGAAGAUAAUGACGGUACCAUAAGAAGAAGCCCCGGCUAACUACGUGCCAGCAGCCGCGGUAAUACGUAGGGGGCUAGCGUUGUCCGGAAUCACUGGGCGUAAAGGGUUCGCAGGCGGAAAUGCAAGUCAGGUGUAAAAGGCAGUAGCUUAACUACUGUAAGCAUUUGAAACUGCAUGUCUUGAGAAAAGUAGAGGUAAGUGGAAUUUUUAGUGUAGCGGUGAAAUGCGUAGAUAUUAAAAAGAAUACCGGUGGCGAAGGCGACUUACUGGGCUCAUUCUGACGCUGAGGAACGAAAGCGUGGGUAGCAAACAGG
This 403-nucleotide ribosomal RNA is filed under the name bacterium. RNAcentral describes it as "partial 16S ribosomal RNA". It matches the Rfam family "Bacterial small subunit ribosomal RNA", at positions 355 to 776 of the family's 1533-position model. The record is from RNAcentral.